This 497-nucleotide ribosomal RNA is filed under the name uncultured bacterium. Its description in RNAcentral is "partial 16S ribosomal RNA". It matches the Rfam family "Bacterial small subunit ribosomal RNA", at positions 28 to 507 of the family's 1533-position model. The record is from RNAcentral.
GAUGAACGCUGGCGGCGUGCCUAAUACAUGCAAGUCGAGCGAACAGACGAGGAGCUUGCUCCUCUGACGUUAGCGGCGGACGGGUGAGUAACACGUGGAUAACCUACCUAUCAGACUGGGAUAACUUCGGGAAACCGGAGCUAAUACCGGAUAAUAUAUUGAACCGCAUGGUUCAAUAGUGAAAGACGGUUUUGCUGUCACUUAUAGAUGGAUCCGCGCCGCAUUAGCUAGUUGGUAAGGUAACGGCUUACCAAGGCGACGAUGCGUAGCCGACCCGAGAGGGUGAUCGGCCACACUGGAACGGAGACACGGUCCAGACUCCUACGGGAGGCAGCAGUAGGGAAUCUUCCGCAAUGGGCGAAAGCCUGACGGAGCAACGCCGCGUGAGUGAUUAAGGUCUUCGGAUCGUAAAACUCUGUUAUUAGGGAAGAACAAAUGUGUAAGUAACUAUGCACGUCUUGACGGUACCUAAUCAGAAAGCCACGGCUAACUACGUG